Molecule: long non-coding RNA, 2697 nt
Organism: Pogona vitticeps (central bearded dragon)
Lineage: Eukaryota; Metazoa; Chordata; Lepidosauria; Squamata; Agamidae
Source: Ensembl
CUCGUCGUAGGUCCUACCUUAUGCUGGGGCAGUUCUAGAAAAGAAUCACCACCUUGCUUUUUGAAACUGGGGAUUUUAAAAAAAUCAAGUUUGUAGCUGUUCUGCUUCAGGAAGAAGCCCCCAUGGUAUCUGGAACUGCCAUCAAGGAGAUCUCUGGUGAAGUGAUCUGUUCCAUCUGCUUAGAAUAUUUCACAGACCUGGUGAUUCUUGUAGGCUGUGGGCACUGCUUCUGCCAAGCCUGCCUCACCCAGUACUGGCCGGACUCUGAUACAGAGUUUUCCUGCCCUCACUGCAAAGGAGUAGUUUGAGAAAGGAACUUCAAGCCGAACCGGUCACUGGCAAACAUUAACAUUGUCAAACUGGAGGAAGAAGAAAGAGCAGAAGAGAAAACUGUGUGCAAGGAAGAGGAAGAUCCCGUUGCCUUGGGAUAUGAGAAAUCCGGGGAGCAUCGGGCUGAUGGCGAAUUUCCUGUGGAUGAGACAUCCCAAGAGAGUAAGAUGACUGAAAGUGAAGGGACAGGAACCAUCAACGGCCGCAAGGGCCGUGGCGUUUCAUGGCGACACAAGGAGACCUUGGAUCUACUGGAUAUCUGGGGAGAGCAGAAGAUCCAGGACCAGCUCCGAAGCAGCCACCGGAAUAUUGAUUUUUUUGAGUACAUUGCCCAGGAGAUGACCACCCGAGGCCACCAUCGUACUGCCGUAGAGUGCCGUUCCAAGACCAAAAUCAUGCGGCUGGAGUAUAAGCGUGUGAUUGGUCACAAUUCCAGGGCAGGGAGCAAUAAGGUGACUUGCCCUUUCUACAAGCAACUGCACCGCAUCCUUCGUGGAGAUGCCAGCGUCAGACCCAAGCGGGUUUCACGAAGCCUGAAUUUCAAACAGGGCCCACAGCAAGAAGCUGUACCAGAUCCCCCAGUUAUGGAGGAGCAGUUCUCUCCUGGGGAUCUAAACAUAAUUAACAUUGGAGACUAUCUCAAAAAGGAAAGCAUAGACAACGUGGCAGACGGAACGGUGGCUGUUCAUGGCAACGAGGAAGAACUGCUAAAUGUGGGGAAUUUUACACAAACUGAGGAGGAAGAGAGCAAUGGAGGCAGUGGAAGAGAUCUGGAUUUGCAGAGACCCCAACUCAGCCCUGGAGCUCAUGUUCCCCCAGAUACUGUCGAACCUCCUGCUGUCCCUUCAAAGGAACCCGAGCCUCCCACCACUCGACUCUCCUUGAUUAGGAACAAAAAGAAGAGGGAAAGGGCAGAGAGCAUGUUUCAGCUCUUCAUGGAGCAGGCCCGAGAGGACUCCCAAAAAGAGCAGGAGGAGAUGGCGCGGGACAGAGUUGUACUGGCCAGGUUUCUGACGGCAUUUGAGCGAGACGCCGCAGACAGCCGAGAGGAGAGGAGGCCGUGCCUGGAGGCGAUGCGUGCCAACUGCGAUAUGUUGCAGGGCAUCGUGAAUGGCUUAAACAAGCUGACGGACGCCAUCGCCGGCCAGCAGCAAGCCAGCACCGGGAGCCAAGCUAGACCCCCCUUGCAUUCGGCCACUCACAAAGAUUUGCCCCUCAAUUCCACUCUGGGCGCAAGGAGUGGCUUACUCCAAGAAGUGCCACGUUCAUACCCUACCAGCAAUGCCAGUGCGGCACCAAAAAGCGGCUCUCGGAAGCCUAGCCAUGGGACUCACCCUCUUCCAAGGGUGAUGUGUAAUCUCGGGUAACAGAUGACAAAGUGUCUUUGUUAAGAUUUCGUGACAAUGAAAGGUAGACCAGGCUAAGGGAGAAGGAAGUUGGGGAAAGCGGGAAGCUUUGGAAGAGGGCCCUUCCAGAAGUGUGGAAGCUUGGUGGCUUUUGCAGAUAGACAAGUCUGAAGCCCAAGGAUACCUGCAUGCACUAGGCGGGAAAUCACAGCGUACUUAAAGUAGCUUUCUCUUUAUGCUGUACCGGCCAGUGCUUCCAGGCAGAGCCACCUCCCAUCGUCCCCAGGAUUUUCUCUCGGCAGGUGCUAAAACAGCAAAGAAAACCAACUUCCAUCAGGGAGGGCCAUUCUGACAAUGAGGUGGAGAACACAUUGGCUUUCCAUCAGCCUGAGCCAAAGUGAACACAGGUGGGGGAUGAGGAGAGUUGCAGUCCACUACCCAAAGGUUUCUGACCCCUUUUUUUCUAAAACAUAAAUCUCAUUUCACCCUUCCCCCCCCCAAAAAAAAAUCCAUUAUGAUCAGUGGACCACAAUCUCUGGUUAACCCCAUGUAGGUGAGACUCUCUCUCUUUCUCUCUUUCUCCCCCCCCCCCCUUUCUCCUAGGCACACCCUUGUGUGUGUAUAUUAGAGAAAAUUUGCGAAGUAGUUGGUUCCCAGUCAUCCCAGUUUUGGCCUCUGAUCUGCCCCAUCGGUCUAAUUGAAGGGGGCUGGUUGUGAGGGGACAGACUCCCCCUCAGAGUGUUCUUCUAAAGUCGGGGAGCAAACCAAGUCUUCUUCGACGUGCUCAGACAUAACACCGUGCAUGAGCUCCUUACCCUAUUAAAACAGCCAGUUUCUUUAGAGGUCUCAGGCGGUGGAAAAUAUGGCGGGUGAUAUCUCUGGACGUUUCAUAGCUGUCCAUCUUGAAUUAUAGCACGUUGGGUGGGAUAGGCUAUAUACUGAAGUGUUUCUUGGGGGAACGCAGUGAACCAGGUCUUUCCACGUUGAUGGAAACCUUUCAGCGAUCCUGUGAAGGCACUUU